AGCUGCAGUUCUCCAGGGGAAUUGCAAAAUACUUCUAAAUACUCUGAAAAUGAAAUUAAAUAUUCAUUUCAUUUUAAUUUACAGAUGCCAUACUUUUAGAAGAUGUCAGUGCUGUGGAAUGAGAUGGCCAACCAUCAUAUGUAUGCUGCAACUCAGAGAUACAGCUGUGAAUUCUCAGAAUACGGUACUGAUGGCCCUGUCGUCCAAUGCAUCCAAUGUCUGAUUUUCAUCUUGGCCAGCUUUCUACUAUGCCUUAGACAAAACUCAACCAUUCUCUUCCAUGAUGUAGAAUGGCUACUAAAAAGGAAGAAGAAAAGAAAGCUUUCAGAGGACAGUGGUAAACAAAUGCAUUAUGAUUUACUUAACAGGGAACUGUAAGUUUUUUAUGUCCAAGAACAUAGAACUUGCUUUUUUAAAAUACUUUCUAAAAAUUUUCUUUUCUUUUGUUUCUUUCUCCCCCCCCCAGAAGAGCUAUAGAGGUGAGUUGUAUAUUUUUUCUUCUGCUCUUUUUUUUUUUAAUUGAAAUAUAAUUAACAUACAGUGUUAUGUUAGUUUCAGGUGUACAAUAUAAUGAUUCAACACUUCUAUACAUUUCUCAGUGCUUAUCAUGAUACUCUUAAUCCCCUUUACCUACUUCACCCACCCCCCUACCCACCUUCCCUAUGGCAACCACCAGUUUGUUCUCUGUUUUCAAGAGUCUGUUUUUUGUCUGUCUCUUUUUUUCUUUAUUCCUUUGUUUUGUUUCUUAGGUCCCAUAUAUGUGUGAAAUCAUAUGGUAUUUUUCUUUCUCUGACUUAUUUCACUUAGCAUUAUACCUUCUACAUCCAUCCAUGUUAUAGCAGAUGGCAAGAUUUCAUUCUUUUUUAUAGCUGAAUGUAUUCCAUUAUAUUAUAUGUACACACCACAUCUUCUUUAUUCAUCUAUGGAUGGACACUUGGUUGCUUCCAUAUCUGGGCUACUGUAAAUAAUGCUGCAGUAAACAUAGGAGUGCACAUAUCUUUUCGAGUUAGUGUUUUCAUUUUCUUUGAGUAAAUACCUGGUAGCAGAAUUGUUGGAUCAUAUGGCAUUUAUAUUUUUAAUUUUUUGAUGAACCUCCAUAUUGUUUUCCACAGUACCUAUACCAGUUUGCAUCCCUACCAACAGUGCAUGAGGGUUCCUUUUUCUCCACAUCCUCACUAACACUUGUUUCUUGUGUUUUGAUUUUUAGUCGUUCUGACAAGUGUGAGGUGAUAGAUAGCUCAUUGUAGUUUUAGUUUG
RNAcentral lists this long non-coding RNA (1257 nucleotides) under Felis catus (domestic cat). RNAcentral's name for it is "lncRNA (ENSFCAG00000047520.1)". The record is from RNAcentral. Lineage: Eukaryota; Metazoa; Chordata; Mammalia; Carnivora; Felidae.